UUUCAUUUAACUAUAUGGCGUCUAGCUCUCAAAUUAUCAGCACAAUCAACAACACAAUUAACAACAGCGACAACAAACUCAAUAUAAUCCCACAAGUGAAAUCCGGAGAGGACAGAAUGAACGGAGACAAAUUGAUUAUCAGCAUAAUUAAUAGGCAUAAAAAUCAGAUUAGCUCUUCCAUUAUCUAUACAACCUAUAAUUAAUCCAAACACAGGGCAAUUCAAAAAUAAUACAUUGCAACAAAAGAUUUAGAAUUUAGCAUAAAAAAUACAGCUCACAAACAAAUUAGUGCACAGAAAAGUAAAAAUGUAGAGAAAUUGAAGAAGGAAAAUGUCCUAUCAGAGUAACUAUGACAAAAAAAGCUUCAUUUGGAUGUUAAUCCAUAGCCUUAUUUCAAGUCAUCAUCAUUUAGGAUCAUGUUCCAAUACUUGCUGCACAUAAAAAAGAAUUAAAAAAAAAAGGACAGUUCAAUGCACUAUAAUACACAAAACCAAAAAUAAAAAUCAAGCAACUGCAAUACAAUCAAUUCAAUUUAACUAAGGGAAUAGCGAAGACAGGUGUGAAAGGUAAGGUGGCUAGUUGAAAUCACAGAUGAAUGGUGCUAGGGGUUG
This 611-nucleotide long non-coding RNA is filed under the name Capsicum annuum. Its description in RNAcentral is "long non-coding RNA (CANN_LNC016243)". Lineage: Eukaryota; Viridiplantae; Streptophyta; Magnoliopsida; Solanales; Solanaceae. The record is from RNAcentral.